RNAcentral lists this ribosomal RNA (460 nucleotides) under uncultured bacterium. Its description in RNAcentral is "partial 16S ribosomal RNA". It matches the Rfam family "Bacterial small subunit ribosomal RNA", at positions 338 to 795 of the family's 1533-position model. The record is from RNAcentral.
CCUACGGGAGGUAGCAGUGAGGAAUAUUGGUCAAUGGACGAGAGUCUGAACCAGCCAAGUAGCGUGAAGGAUGACUGCCCUAUGGGUUGUAAACUUCUUUUAUAUGGGAAUAAAAUGUUCCACGUGUGGGAUUUUGUAUGUACCAUAUGAAUAAGGAUCGGCUAACUCCGUGCCAGCAGCCGCGGUAAUACGGAGGAUCCGAGCGUUAUCCGGAUUUAUUGGGUUUAAAGGGAGCGUAGGUGGAUUGUUAAGUCAGUUGUGAAAGUUUGCGGCUCAACCGUAAAAGUGCAGUUGAAACUGGCAGUCUUGAGUACAGUAGAGGUGGGCGGAAUUCGUGGUGUAGCGGUGAAAUGCUUAGAUAUCACGAAGAACUCCGAUUGCGAAGGCAGUUCACUGGACUGCAACUGACACUGAGGCUCGAAAGUGUGGGUAUCAAACAGGAUUAGAUACCCUUGUAGUC